AGAUGAUAAUAAAAAAUGAGCUUCUGUGAUGAGACAAGACCAUGAUUAAUUCCCCACCUAUGGCCAGCACGAGAGAAUGAGAUUCUGAAUCU
RNAcentral lists this small RNA (92 nucleotides) under Salix viminalis (osier). The record is from RNAcentral. Lineage: Eukaryota; Viridiplantae; Streptophyta; Magnoliopsida; Malpighiales; Salicaceae.